UAGUCAUAUGCUUGUCUUAAAGACUAAGCCAUGCAUGUCUAAGUAUAAGUAUUAUACAGCGAAACUGCGAAUGGCUCAUUAAAACAGUUAUAGUUUAUUCGAUUAUUUGCCCCCUACAUGGAUAACCGUAGUAAUUCUAGAGCUAAUACAUGCUGUCAAACCUGACUUUUGCGGAAGGGUUGUAUUUAUUAGAUAUAAACCAAUACUCCUUUACGGGAGUGUUGUGAUGAUUCAUAAUAACUGAGCGGAUCGCGGCCUUGCCGCGACGAAUCGUUCAA
Molecule: ribosomal RNA, 278 nt
Filed under: uncultured eukaryote
Lineage: Eukaryota
Description: partial 18S ribosomal RNA
Rfam family: Eukaryotic small subunit ribosomal RNA
Source: RNAcentral